GUUUGAUCCUGGCUCAGAACGAACGCUGGCGGCGUGGAUAAGACAUGCAAGUCGAGCGAGAUUUUUCGUUGUAGCAAUACGAUGGAAAGUCUAGCGGCGAACGGGUGCUUAACACGUGGGCAACCUGCCAUGAAGUGGGGGAUAGCUCGCCGAAAGGCGAAUUAAUACCGCAUGUGAUUAGAGAGGACAUCCUUUCGAAAUUAAAGUCGGGGCAACCUGACGCUUCUUGUGGGGCCCGCGGCCUAUCAGCUAGUUGGUGAGGUAACGGCUCACCAAGGCUUUGACGGGUAGCUGGUCUGAGAGGACGACCAGCCACACUGGGACUGAGACACGGCCCAGACACCUACGGGUGGCAGCAGUCGAGAAUUUUUGACAAUGGGGGAAACCCUGAUCGAGCGACGCCGCGUGGAGGAUGAAGGUCUUCGGAUUGUAAACUCCUGUCAUUGGGGAACAAGGUGCAUACGUUAACUGCGUGUGUAUUGAUAGUACCCGAAGAGGAAGAGACGGCUAACUCUGUGCCAGCAGCCGCGGUAAUACAGAGGUCUCAAGCGUUGUUCGGAUUCAUUGGGCGUAAAGGGUGCGUAGGCGGCGCGGUAAGUCGGGUGUGAAAUCUCGGAGCUUAACUCCGAAACUGCAUUCGAUACUGCCGUGCUUGAGGACUGGAGAGGAGACUGGAAUUUACGGUGUAGCGGUGAAAUGCGUAGAUAUCGUAAGGAAGACCAGUGGCGAAGGCGGGUCUCUGGACAGUUCCUGACGCUGAGGCACGAAGGCCAGGGGAGCAAACGGGAUUAGAUACCCCGGUAGUCCUGGCAGUAAACGGUGCACGUUUGGUGUGGGAGGAUUCGACCCCCUCUGCGCC
Molecule: ribosomal RNA, 859 nt
Filed under: uncultured Verrucomicrobiota bacterium
Lineage: Bacteria; Pseudomonadati; Verrucomicrobiota
Description: bacterial SSU rRNA
Rfam family: Bacterial small subunit ribosomal RNA
Source: RNAcentral